CGUGGGUGAAGAAGGCCUUCGGGUUGUAAAGCCCUUUCGGUGGNGACGAAACGGUGCGUGCCAAUACCACGCACUACUGACGGUACCCACAGAAGAAGCACCGGCUAACUACGUGCCAGCAGCCGCGGUAAUACGUAGGGUGCGGGCGUUAAUCGGAAUUACUGGGCGUAAAGCGUGCGCAGGCGGUUUGCUAAGACAGGUGUGAAAUCCCCGAGCUUAACUUGGGAACUGCGCUUGUAACUGGCAAGCUGGAGUGUGGCAGAGGGGGGUGGAAUUCCACGUGUAGCAGUGAAAUGCGUAGAGAUGUGGAGGAACACCGAUGGCGAAGGCAGCCCCCUGGGCUAACACUGACGCUCAUGCACGAAAGCGUGGGGAGCAAACAGGAUUAGAUACCCUGGUAGUCCACGCCCUAAACUAUGUCAACUGGUUGUCGGGGAAGCAAUUCCUUGGUAACGAAGCUAACGCCGUGAAGUUGACCGCCUGGGGAGUACGGGCGCAAGGGUAAAACUCAAAGGAAUUGACGGGGACCCGCACAAGCGGUGGAUUAUGUGGAUUAAUUCGAUGCAACGCGAAAAACCUUACCUACCCUUGACAUGUACGGAACCCUCCAGAGAUGGAGGGGUGCCCCGAAA
Molecule: ribosomal RNA, 632 nt
Filed under: uncultured bacterium
Lineage: Bacteria
Description: bacterial SSU rRNA
Rfam family: Bacterial small subunit ribosomal RNA
Source: RNAcentral